CCCACACCAUCACGAUAGAGAGGAAAAAGGUGUAGAAAUAAAGGGCGAAAAUCAUGAAAUUCAAAUUAGCAGCAAUGGUUUUAGUUGGAGCACUAAUACUACUAAUUGUGGCGGCAGCAGCAGGCAGAGACAGAGAGUCUACCAAAACCAUGAUGACAGCUAAGGGAACCCAGAAGGAAUUAGAAACCGUUUUCAAACAUCAUUUCAUUCAUUCUCAAAAGACACAAGAUCAGUACAGACUACUACUAUUAGAGUACAGUACCCAAGAUCAUCCAUGGUCCCGUGGUCACACUUUUCCGCUCCCUCCUUAUAAACCAAAGCCUAAACCCCCAAUUAUCCUACCCCCACACCCACCACCACCACCACCCAAGGCACGCAGUGAUAGAAUAGUUUGACCCUGCUGUUCUUACAACUAGAAUCAAAUUCUAGUGGUAAUAAAACUCAAUCCAAUGACCUAUUCUUAUGGCUUUUCAGCCUUCCAAAUUAUUGAUUUACUUAUGCUAACAGACAUGGAUUCUGGGUCUCUGUUUUUCUUGUGAAAUUCUGUCAUAUUUUCAUGUUGGUUUUGAGAUGAUAUCAUGGUUUAAUUUGCCAUAUUUUGUUGGAUCUGAGGCUUGAAUUGGAAUCUCCAAAUCCUUAUUUUAUUUUUUUUACAAU
Molecule: RNA transcript, 657 nt
Organism: Impatiens glandulifera
Lineage: Eukaryota; Viridiplantae; Streptophyta; Magnoliopsida; Ericales; Balsaminaceae
Gene name: shootin-1-like
Exons: 2
Source: RefSeq, a predicted model, not a curated record